UAAUUAAGUUUUGAAAUCUUAAGAUGUUAAUUUAAUACUGUUUUCCUUACUGAGCAUAUGGAACUCACUCUUUCCAUGCCCUCUUUUCAGAUGGGGAAGAAAGUGAGGAACUGCAGACUGACCUACCCUUGGAAGUCUAUGAGGAUCCUGUGGGUCCACAAGUCUGAGUGCAUGACUGUUCCCGCACUAUGAUGAAUCCAAUAGCAUAGUGAAAAAAGUGGCCUUUAUUAUUUGUAUUUUGUAGCCAUU
RNAcentral lists this long non-coding RNA (249 nucleotides) under Carica papaya (papaya). RNAcentral's name for it is "long non-coding RNA (CPAP_LNC011475)". Lineage: Eukaryota; Viridiplantae; Streptophyta; Magnoliopsida; Brassicales; Caricaceae. The record is from RNAcentral.